RNAcentral lists this ribosomal RNA (851 nucleotides) under uncultured bacterium. RNAcentral's name for it is "bacterial SSU rRNA". It matches the Rfam family "Bacterial small subunit ribosomal RNA", at positions 524 to 1380 of the family's 1533-position model. The record is from RNAcentral.
UACGGAGGGUGCAAGCGUUAUCCGGAUUUAUUGGGUUUAAAGGGUGCGCAGGCGGAUUUAUAAGUCAGUGGUGAAAUCCCGGGGCUCAACCCCGGAACUGCCAUUGAUACUGUAGGUCUUGAAUACGGUUGAAGUAGGCGGAAUGUAGCAUGUAGCGGUGAAAUGCAUAGAUAUGCUACAGAACACCGAUCGCGAAGGCAGCUUACUAAGCCGAUAUUGACGCUCAGGCACGAAAGCGUGGGUAGCGAACAGGAUUAGAUACCCUGGUAGUCCACGCCGUAAACGAUGAUCACUCGUUGUUGGCGAUACACAGUCAGUGACCAAGCGAAAGCGAUAAGUGAUCCACCUGGGGAGUACGAUCGCAAGGUUGAAACUCAAAGGAAUUGACGGGGGCCCGCACAAGCGGUGGAGCAUGUGGUUUAACUCGAUGAUACGCGAGGAACCUUACCUGGGCUCAAAUGCAAGUUGACGUAACGGGAAACCGUUAUUUCUUCGGACAAUUUGCAAGGUGCUGCAUGGUUGUCGUCAGCUCGUGCCGUGAGGUGUCGGGUUAAGUCCCAUAACGAGCGCAACCCCUAUCAUUAGUUGCCAUCAGGUAAAGCUGGGGACUCUAAUGAAACUGCCUACGCAAGUAGAGAGGAAGGUGGGGAUGACGUCAAAUCAGCACGGCCCUUACGUCCAGGGCUACACACGUGCUACAAUGGCCGGUACAGAGGGCAGCCACCCCGUGAGGGGGAGCGAAUCUCGAAAGCCGGUCUCAGUUCGGAUCGAAGUCUGCAACCCGACUUCGUGAAGCUGGAAUCGCUAGUAAUCGCGCAUCAGCCAUGGCGCGGUGAAUACGUUCCCGGGCC